Molecule: ribosomal RNA, 253 nt
Filed under: uncultured bacterium
Lineage: Bacteria
Description: partial 16S ribosomal RNA
Rfam family: Bacterial small subunit ribosomal RNA
Source: RNAcentral
UACGUAGGUGACAAGCGUUGUCCGGAUUUACUGGGCGUAAAGAGCGCGCAGGCGGUCGAUCAAGUCGAGUGUGAAAGCCCCCGGCUCAACUGGGGAGGGUCAUUCGAUACUGAUCGACUCGAAGGCAGGAGAGGGUAGUGGAAUUCCUGGUGGAGCGGUGAAAUGCGCAGAUAUCAGGAGGAACACCCGUAGCGAAGGCGGCACUCUGGGCCGAUACUGACACUGAGGAGCGAAAGCGUGGGGAGCGAACAGG